UGCAAAUGAUGUCUUCUCACGAUGGUCUUCCAAGCACUCUCUGCUUUGACGACAAUGCCUUAUGGCUACACUGAUGCAGUCCU
Trichomycterus rosablanca is the source of this 83-nucleotide small nucleolar RNA. RefSeq annotates it as small nucleolar RNA SNORD35. The transcript has a single exon. Lineage: Eukaryota; Metazoa; Chordata; Actinopteri; Siluriformes; Trichomycteridae. The record is from RefSeq and is a predicted model, not a curated record.